UACGAAGGGGGCUAGCGUUGUUCGGAAUUACUGGGCGUAAAGUGCGUGUAGGCGGGUCUUUAAGUCAGGGGUGAAAUGCCAAGGCUCAACCUUGGAACUGCCUUUGAUACUGGAGACCUUGAGUCCGGGAGAGGUGAGUGGAAUUGCGAGUGUAGAGGUGAAAUUCGUAGAUAUUCGCAAGAACACCAGUGGCGAAGGCGGCUCACUGGCCCGGAACUGACGCUGAGACGCGAAAGCGUGGGGAGCAAACAGG
RNAcentral lists this ribosomal RNA (253 nucleotides) under uncultured bacterium. RNAcentral describes it as "partial 16S ribosomal RNA". It matches the Rfam family "Bacterial small subunit ribosomal RNA", at positions 524 to 776 of the family's 1533-position model. The record is from RNAcentral.